Molecule: ribosomal RNA, 274 nt
Filed under: uncultured bacterium
Lineage: Bacteria
Description: partial 16S ribosomal RNA
Rfam family: Bacterial small subunit ribosomal RNA
Source: RNAcentral
AUACAGAGGGUGCAAGCGUUAAUCGGAAUUACUGGGCGUAAAGCGCGCGUAGGCGGCUUUGUAAGUCGGAUGUGAAAGCCCUGGGCUUAACCUGGGAAUGGCAUUCGAUACUGCAGAGCUAGAGUAUGGUAGAGGGAAGUGGAAUUUCCGGUGUAGCGGUGAAAUGCGUAGAUAUCGGAAGGAACACCAGUGGCGAAGGCGACUUCCUGGGCCAAUACUGACGCUGAGGUGCGAAAGCGUGGGGAGCAAACAGGAUUAGAAACCCCAGUAGUCC